CAGCCCCCCUGGACCUUGCCAGAUGGAGCAGGGUGACCGGCUCUUGGCUUGGAAGGAGCAGCUGGCUUCCCGACUGGAUGAAGCACCAUCUCUCUUUGGUCCCUCACUCUCCGCUCUUUCCCACGGACUUAGCCAGAUGGCAUCCCUGGGAGCCUCAGGGUCCCUUGGAAACAUGAACAGCUGUGCUUGUAAAGCCACCCGUGCCCUCCUAUGUGACUGCGUCUGUCAUUGCACAGAAUGCAAAACCACCUGUGGACUCCAGGGAGCUGCUUCCGUGUCCCCUCUUCUUCCAGUGGAGACGCUGAGCUCCCAUCAUGGUCUUAGAUACCCGGGGCUCCUCACAGCGCUCACAGUGAGGCUGGCCUGGUUGAGGCCACUCGGAGGAAGGGACAGGGACCCCACACUGUGGACACGCUGGUGCUUUGGAGCUCCUGGGUGGGUCCAUGGCAUUUUUCAGGCAGCCUUCCUUGAUGUCCCACGGUUCUCCUGAUAAAGAGGAGACCCGGGGGCUGUGUCCUGGGGGAACUUCUAACUCAUGUAUUCUUGUAAACCUGCUGUCACCUCCUGUCCUCAGGCUCACAGCCCUACAGCGGGAUGGGAGCAACGUAAGAAUGUAGCUACGGACCCAUAUUCUGCAUAAGCACUUAUUUAUAGAAUUUGUUUUUACUUGACCAUUUGCUGAGCACUUGUGAAUUCUACCCAGAGGGCAUUGGGACUUGUGUGGAAUGUUUACUGUCUGUGUCCUCUGUUAAAACCGUAUGUGUGUAAAUAUAUUUUGAUAUUUAAAGCAUAUAUUCCUGCCCAGUGUGUUUUAUUACCAUAAAUCUGCAAAGUUCAGCAGUUUUGCAAAUUGUCCAAGUGGGCUUUUGUGAGUUCAUGUCCUUAUGGGCUGCCCUAGGGCGAGCAGUCGCUUGAUUGAGGUCCCUCCCACCCCUCAAAGUGGUGACCCCUUCCCCAUGUGACCUGAGUCCCCUUCCUUCAGGGCCCAGGGCCCAAGUUGGGGGCAGGGGGCUUGGCCCUCAGCCAGGGUCCCGCUUCCCACCACUGUCAUGCAGCAGUGAUUCAGUCGGGGUGACUGGAUACCGUGGCCGGCACUUGUGUGUGUGGACACGCGCACGCACACCUGUCAGACCCAGCCCAGGGUUACUCUUUCCCUGAAUGUCCAGAUGUGACAGAGCAGUGACCAGGACGGGCUGUGACCCUGUCUGCUUCAUCUCCUGAAGGUGGGAGGUGGCGAUCGCCAUUCUCACUGGAUGCUUCUUGGAAGAGGCAGAACAGGAGGCAUCUGCUUCCCGGCUCUGCCCGUCCCAGCGCCUGCGGCUAGUGCUCCGGUGUCUCGUUACACAGGGCACGUCAGCCCCUCUGCCUCCUCUGGGGACCCAUCAGUGUGUACGGCAUCACUGGUUAAAUCUGAGGGUAGUGGCGUCAGCUCUGGGCGUGAGCUAUGAGCCAGCCCUCGGCCCCGUUUUUCCCGGCUGGGAGCCCAGAGGACCUGCAGUUGCAACCAUGGGCCCCAGAGGGCAGCACAGAUGCGUCCUGGGCCACAGGCUUCCUGGAACCCAGUCUCUCUUGGCCCCCUCGCUCUACUGAACCCCAGUCCUGUCUCCCACCAGUGGCCCUUCCCCCAAGAAUUCAGGUGGAAACCAAACAGGGUCUCUCCCUUCCACUCCCCUGGGAGACGUGUCUGAGACAUGAGGUGGACGCCCAUCUUCUUGGAAUCCUGAUCCUCCGUUUGCUGAGGACUUGCAGGGCCCAGGUUUAAGCAGGAAACAAAGGCUGGUGCAUUAACUGAUCACCUGCCCCACACCAGGCCUGGGGCACACUCCCUUGGGCAGCAGGACCCCUGGUGCCCGGCAGAGCCAAUGCUUCUAGAUUGUAUGCCCUCUGUCUCUGUUCCUGGAGAUGGGGUGUCUUGUGUAUGCAUUCACUGAGCCAGUGCAUGCUUAUUAAAAAUCACAUUUCAGAAAAAGUAGCUUUAGUGAAAUAUAACUGACAUGCAUGUAAUUCAUCCAUUUGAGGAGAACGGCUCAGGGGACAGACUGGGAUGUCUUGCAGAGUACACAAAACAGUCCCUCCUGGUCCACAGUGCCCAUCAGUGUUUAAGCGACACAAACAAGUGGAAUUUGAGAUGAAAGGCAGAAAAGCCCCUAGAUUAGGAGCUGGAAUAAAGCAUCAGAACAUCAAACACACCCAGGGAGCUCUGGGAAUGCACUGGCGCCCACAGUAAUUACGUAUCACAAGUCGGGUCUGGCAGGCUGGGUGGCAGCAAUGGACUGGGGGGAAGACGUGGCCUGGGGGACGGGUAAAGGCAGACACAGGGCCAGGCUCUGGGACCACAGCUCCUCUGGGGACGGUGAUUCAGCUUGCAUGGGGACCUCUCUGAAGGCGAGACCACUGUCCACGACAGAAGCCCGCCUCUUCCAGUGACCCGAGGCUGGGAGGAAGGAGUGAAUACCGUAGAGGAAUAGGCACCAGAACCAGGGGGCUUUUCAGGGCAGAAGGAGCAGCCACACAGACACUUGGUCAUAUCUAAAGUGAGUCCUGGGAAAUGAGUUCCAAAUCUGAUCCUGUAGUUGGAGUCUGGCUCUGGCAGGGAGAUCUGACCUUGGGAGACUUGUGGCAACCCCACCUCGGUGAUCCCACUGUAAGUAGGGCCCAUAGCGGGACCCACCUCACAGGGCGAGAUGAGGAUGGAUCCAUUCUAUGCAGAGCCCCCAGGAUGUCCCUGGACACAGUGGACCAUCCUGGUCACUCUUGGACCCUCAGUGCCCCUUGUGAUCUGAGGCUGAGGGCCGGUGGGCCCUGAAGGACUGGCCAUUUGAGGGUGGAGGUGGCAAGGCUCUCCCCUGCUAUGCCAGCUCCUGGGGGCACAAAGAUGAGCUGAAGAGCAAUUGCUCUGAAUGAUAAUUUGCACUUAGAUUUAUUCUAAUCAGUAGCACAUUAGCCAGGCACAUGUGAUAACCGUCUAAUGACUGUUAUAUGUAUAAUCCAUUUUAUUCUCAGCUGGCUCCCACGGUAAUUACAUUCUGCUGUGUUUAAUUCAUAACUUGAUCAUUUAUUCCAAGUCAAGCUGGAUUGGUCCACAGGCUCAAGGGAAGUGCCACUCGCUGAGGAGUUCAGCCUCUGCUCUGGCCAUGCAGGAAGCUUGUGAAGCCACCAACAUCUCCCCAGCUCUCGUGGGGCCUCUGGGCCAGCAGCUCCCACUCUGAGCCAGCCAGAGCCCGCAGUGGGUGGUGAUGAUGGUGAUGGAAUCAGCAAAGGCUGAAAUAAUAUCAGACACUUUCUAUUUAAUGUAAUAGCUGUGCAGGACGUGUGCACAGCUCACACCCGGCAUACCCGAAAGGCAGGGGCCAACAGCUCAGUGUGAGUCUAACAGGCCUUGGAGGACCUGUGGGUUCAGUUCUGAUGUCCAGAGUAUUUGACUUCACCUUUCCAUGUCUCAGUUUCCCCACUUUUGACACAGGGAAGAGACCACAGUACCCAUUUCACUGGGACCCAUGAAGACUGGAGAUCCAGAUUAUAGUAAAUGCAGUCAGAGUUUUUUUUUUAAUAAUUAAAGCAAUUCUCAUCCUUGCUGCUCAGGCAAGGAAACUGAGGUCCUCCCACAAAACAGUACCGAAGUGGGUGUAUAAAUGCACGAAGGUGGAGGCCUUCUGAGAAGCUGGCUGUCAGCCAGGGAGGCUAAGGAGCCUAUACCCACCACAGGCUGGAGGCCCAGGAGGCUGGCAGUCAAGCUCAUUCUGGGUCUGACAGCCUGAGAACCAGGGGAGCUGAUGGGUGUGAGUCCCAGCCACUCCACGUGAGUGCCCCGUGGCCAGUUUGGUUGACACAGAACGUAAAGCAUCACACACACCUGCCAGGCCUCUCUGCCUCUUCUGAGAACUCAGGUGUUCCCAGAUGUCUGUCCACCAUCCAAAGGGCCUUUUUCAGGCUUUCAGUCCCCGAUACUUCCACCAGAGUCCUGUGGGGAACUUGCUUUUAAGGGCAGAGUCCACCACCCUCGCACGCGCUGGUUUAGAAUCUCGGGAGGCUCUUCUACCUGCAUUUAAAGAGCAGGGCUGGCACCACACUCAAGCCAGCAGUGUUUGCUGGGUCCAUGCCUGGCCUCUCCCUUCAUCUCCUAUCUCACAGGCACAUCUCCUUGGCAUGUAGUGUUGUCCACACUUCUGGGAGUCCUUCAUUCCCCUAAAGCAGCAUGAAGUCUUCCACAAUUAAUCCCAGCCGCCCUCACCCCCUGCCCACCAGGCAUUGCCGCACCUGGAGGUCCCUAAUUAGGAGCAUAAUUAGCCCCACGGCCGUUUUCUCAUCACAAUGGCCCAUCGUGAGUCUGCUUUGCAGCUAAUGACUGAGUCUUCCUGACAAGAAUGGCAAUUCCUUCCGGUAUUUUCCUCCCACCUUCCCCAGAAAACUGCCAAGGGCAGCGUGCAUAAGCCACCCAGGGUCCCGCAGCACUGUCCAGGUCAGGGCUGGCCGCUGGUCAGGCCAUGGACAUGAGGGCAGGUGUCCGGUGACCACCAUCCUGUCUUAGCUGGGAUGUGAGGGCCUUUGGAGGGAGGGGAGCUACUGAGGGAGGGUGGGAACAGGGGAGUGUGCAGGCAGGUGGGGGCAGGACAGAAAAGGGGGCCUGGCUGCUGUGUCCUAUGCCUCCCCAGCCUGGAUCCCCAGGAAGAGCUCCUGAGUCCACUUUGUACUUGGCCCUUCCACUCUAUCUGCGUGUCUGAGCAGGAAAUCUUUUGUCUUAAGGAGGAGAAAGUGAACGCAGGAAGCUGUCAGAGCUGGCAUGGGCUCACUUGCCUCCAGCGGGAGCUUCACUGAGGCUGUGGUGAACGUCCUGGUUUUUCUCUGGAGGAUGAGCUGCCUGCUGGCCCUCUUGGGAAGGAAAUGCACUGGUUUCCAAUGCCCAGAGACAGAAGAGUCAAAUAUAGACAAUGACCAUGCAGGAAGCUGCAGCCCUCAUUCCCGGAACACCAGGUGCACUCGCUUCAAAGGAAGGUUUGACAGGGAAUGCGUGGAUCAGCCUGUUCUGGCCCAUGGAAGCAGCAGAGCUUAGGCUCUGGGGGUCCUGGCAGUCUAAUAGGGGAGGAGGGCUCCUUGCAGGGCAGGCUGCUCCAGGUCUCCUAUUCCCAGAAACCCCCUCCUCUCCCCAGCUCUCUGCCUUGCCUCCCAAGCUGCAGUUGUGGGUGAUCCACAGAGCAGCAGCUGGGCCUCUCUGUCCGGCCACCUUUGGUCUCUGAUGACAAAACCUGCCCAGAGCGCAAAAACUGAAUCAGACCAGAGCCAUGUGGAGGGUGAUGCCUCCAGGCAGUGGGCUUCCCCAGGGGUCAUUCCCAGGGCAGCCUUCCCCGCUGAGCUGUUUCAGGGGAGGCCUGAGUGUCUCAAGAGGAAUUCGGCCCCAGGAGGAGCCUCCCAGGCUCAGGGGGACAGAGGACAUCUGAACAGCUCUUCACUGAGAUGUGUCACCUCCAGCACCAGCUCAAAUGAGC
This 5483-nucleotide long non-coding RNA is filed under the name Bos grunniens (domestic yak). Its description in RNAcentral is "lncRNA (ENSBGRG00000020751.1)". The record is from RNAcentral. Lineage: Eukaryota; Metazoa; Chordata; Mammalia; Artiodactyla; Bovidae.